GCCCGGGUGGUGGAAUUUGGUCAGACACGGUCGCCUUAAGAGCGACUGCCCUUCGUGGCGUGAGGGUUCGAGUCCCUCCCCGGGUA
This 86-nucleotide transfer RNA is filed under the name Solirubrobacteraceae bacterium. RNAcentral's name for it is "tRNA-Leu". It matches the Rfam family "tRNA". From Rfam's summary of the family: Transfer RNA (tRNA) molecules are approximately 80 nucleotides in length. Their secondary structure includes four short double-helical elements and three loops (D, anti-codon, and T loops). Further hydrogen bonds mediate the characteristic L-shaped molecular structure. tRNAs have two regions of fundamental functional importance: the anti-codon, which is responsible for specific mRNA codon recognition, and the 3' end, to which the tRNAs corresponding amino acid is attached (by aminoacyl-tRNA synthetases). tRNAs cope with the degeneracy of the genetic code in two manners: having more than one tRNA (with a specific anti-codon) for a particular amino acid; and 'wobble' base-pairing, i.e. permitting non-standard base-pairing at the 3rd anti-codon position. The record is from RNAcentral. RNAcentral also lists the same sequence under 2 other names. Lineage: Bacteria; Bacillati; Actinomycetota; Thermoleophilia; Solirubrobacterales; Solirubrobacteraceae.